RNAcentral lists this ribosomal RNA (402 nucleotides) under uncultured bacterium. RNAcentral describes it as "bacterial SSU rRNA". It matches the Rfam family "Bacterial small subunit ribosomal RNA", at positions 28 to 414 of the family's 1533-position model. The record is from RNAcentral.
GAUGAACGCUAGCUACAGGCUUAACACAUGCAAGUCGAGGGGCAGCAUUUCAGUUUGCUUGCAAACUGGAGAUGGCGACCGGCGCACGGGUGAGUAACACGUAUCCAACCUGCCGAUAACUCGGGGGAUAGCCUUUCGAAAGAAAGAUUAAUACCCGAUGGUAUAAUUAGACCGCAUGGUCUUGUUAUUAAAGAAUUUCGGUUAUCUAUGGGGAUGCGUUCCAUUAGGCAGUUGGUGAGGUAACGGCUCACCAAACCUUCGAUGGAUAGGGGUUCUGAGAGGAGGGUUCCCCCACAUUGGGAACUGGAGACACGGUCCAAACUCCUACGGGAGCAGCAGUGAGGAAUAUUGGUCAAUGGGCGCGAGGCCUGAACCAGACCAAGGUAGCGUGAAGGAUGACUG